Molecule: long non-coding RNA, 535 nt
Filed under: Sorghum bicolor (sorghum)
Lineage: Eukaryota; Viridiplantae; Streptophyta; Magnoliopsida; Poales; Poaceae
Description: long non-coding RNA (SBIC_LNC012112)
Source: RNAcentral
AAGGAAUAAUACGAGGAAAUAAAAAGGAGCAAGUGCUCGGAACCUCGAAAGGAAAAAAAAGUGAGAUGAGAGGUAAAAAUGGACAAGUGUCCGACAGUAGAAUUAGGGGUGCAAGAUACCCACCUGAGAGACAAGAAAAAGAAGAGCAUCUCAUUCUCCUCAUAAAGUUUCAAAAGCAAGGAAGGUAUGUAUCCCCUCAAAGAGCAAAGUAGAAUUAGACUUCCACCACCAUUGUUUUCACCAUUGUUAUCACUAUCAUCACCAUACACCAUUCAUUCGCCACACAUGCACAUCUUGAUUAAACUUAUUGACUUGUUACUUUGGAUCCAUGGUUUGACUAUGCAAUAAAUGUCUUGUAAGUAUGUAUACUUUAUCUCCCACCUAUGAGCUCCAGAUAUUAAAGCCUUAUUAGAGUAGGGUGAGAGAGAAGGCAAUGUCACUAUGCUUUGUACCACAAAUACCACAUAUCUUGAGAGAAGGCAUAUACCAUCAAUGCCUUGGUAAGGAUCCAAAAAUACCACAAAAGAGAGACCUG